CAAACAAAAAAAAAAUGAAGAAAAAAUGUAUGAUGUAUGACCACACAGUAUAAACCAUAUUCCCUAGCGCACUCCAUUUCUCUUUUUCUCAGUGGGUUCCUUCUUUUCUUU
This 111-nucleotide non-coding RNA is filed under the name Geminigera cryophila. Lineage: Eukaryota; Cryptophyceae; Pyrenomonadales; Geminigeraceae. The record is from RNAcentral.